Molecule: ribosomal RNA, 253 nt
Filed under: uncultured bacterium
Lineage: Bacteria
Description: partial 16S ribosomal RNA
Rfam family: Bacterial small subunit ribosomal RNA
Source: RNAcentral
UACGAACCGUCCAAACGUUACUCGGAAUCACUGGGCGUAAAGGGUGCGUAGGUGGCGCGCUAAGUCAGGUGUGAAAUUUCGGAGCUCAACUCCGAAACUGCAUUUGAUACUGGCGUGCUUGAGGACUGGAGAGGAGACUGGAAUUUACGGUGUAGCAGUGAAAUGCGUAGAGAUCCGGAAGAACACCGGUGGCGAAGGCGGUCUGCUGGGCAGUUGCUGACACUGAGGCGCGACAGCGUGGGGAGCAAACAGG